GUCUUCCGGUUCCCGCCUGAAGCACGAGUCUAGCGUGGCCGAUAUCGGAGACUGGCGCGUCAAGGAAGGUUUUUUCAUCAGAUACUGAAAAUGGAGUCUAAAAUCAUGUUUAUAUUCAGUGGCUUCCAAAUCCUUUGGGUUGGACUGUCUCAGUCAUUUCAACAAGCAAGGUUUCCUUUUGUGUUUGUUGGAAACCAUCAAGACGGCUUUUUGUUCCUUAAGUUAAAGAUAACGUGAAUAUCUCAAUUGUGUGCCUAGCGGACUUCAGAUGAAUUCAGACACCUG
Long non-coding RNA from Gekko japonicus, 285 nucleotides. RefSeq lists it as uncharacterized. The record is from RefSeq and is a predicted model, not a curated record. The transcript is spliced from 4 exons. NCBI's taxonomy places the organism in Eukaryota, Metazoa, Chordata, Lepidosauria, Squamata, Gekkonidae.